AGGGUGCAGGGCGGAUGCCUUGGCACUAGGAGCCGAUGAAGGACGUGAUAAGCUGCGAUAAGCUUCGGGGAGUUGCACGUAAACUUUGAUCCGAAGAUUUCCGAAUGAGGAAACUCACUUAGAGUAAUGUCUAAGUAUCAUUAAGUGAAUACAUAGCUUAAUGAGGGGAACUCAGGGAACUGAAACAUCUAAGUACCUGAAGGAAGAGAAAGAAAUUCGAUUCCGUAAGUAGCGGCGAGCGAACGCGGAUUAGCCCAAACCAAUAAAGUUUUCUUUAUUGGGGUUGCGGACAUAUCAUAACGAAGAGGUAUCGUAAUUGAAGAGGUUUGGAAAGACCCACCACAGAAGGUAAUAGUCCUGUAUGUUAAACGAGAAGACUUCAGAUAUGAUCCAGAGUACCACGGGACACGUGAAACCCUGUGGGAAGCAGGAGGGACCACCCUCCAAGGCUAAAUACUACCUAGUGACCGAUAGCGUAUAGUACCGUGAGGGAAAGGUGAAAAGAACCCCGGGAGGGGAGUGAAAUAGAACCUGAAACCCUGCACUUACAAGCUGUGGAAGCACAUUUCUUGUGUGACCGCGUACUUUUUGUAGAACGGGCCAACGAGUUACGUUAAGUAGCAAGGUUAAGCACUUAAGGUGCGGAGCCGUAGCGAAAGCGAGUUUUAACUGAGCGUUCAGUUACUUGACGUAGACCCGAAACCGGGCGACCUACCCAUGAGCAGGAUGAAGCGAAAGUAAAAUUUCGUGGAGGUCCGAACCCACGAGCGUUGAAAAGCUCGGGGAUGACUUGUGGGUAGCGGUGAAAUUCCAAUCGAGCCCGGAGAUAGCUGGUUCUCCCCGAAAUAGCUUUAGGGCUAGCCUCAAGGUGAGAGAUACGGAGGUAGAGCACUGAAUGUCCUAGGGGGUAUUGCACCUACCGAAGACUAUCAAACUCCGAAUGCCGUCAUCUUAUACUUGGGAGUCAGACUGUGGGUGAUAAGAUUCAUAGUCGAAAGGGCAACAGCCCAGAUCGUCAGCUAAGGUCCCUAAAUGUAAGUUAAGUGGUAAAGGAUGUGGGAUUGCACAGACAACCAGGAUGUUGGCUUAGAAGCAGCCACUCAUUCAAAGAGUGCGUAAUAGCUCACUGGUCGAGUGAUCCUGCGCCGAAGAUUUCCGGGGCUAAAACUUACUACCGAAGCUACGGCAUCAGUAAUGAUGGGUAGGGGAGCUUCCCAUACGGGUUGAAGCAUGACCGUAAGGACAUGUGGACAGUAUGGGAGUGAGAAUGUUGGCAUGAGUAGCGAGAUGUGGGUGAGAAUCCCACAGGCCGUAAACCCAAGGUUUCCAGGGGAAGGUUCGUCCGCCCUGGGUUAGUCGGGACCUAAGCUGAGGCCGAAAGGCGUAGGUGAUGGACAACAGGUUGAUAUUCCUGUACUACCGAUAACCGUUUGAGAGAAGGGAUGACACAGUAGGAUAAGCUAAGCACACUGUUGGUUAUGUGUGCCCAAGCAUUGAGGCAGUCAAAGUAGGCAAAUCCGCUUUGAUAAUGCUGGGAUGUGAUGGGGAGCGAAAUUUAGUAGCGAAGUAGCUGAUUUCACACUGUCAAGAAAAGUCUCUAUCGAGGUUAAAGGUACCCGUACCGCAAACCGACACAGGUGGGUGAGGAGAGUAUCCUAAGGCCAGCGAGAGAACUGUUGUUAAGGAACUCGGCAAAAUGACCCCGUAACUUAGGGAUAAGGGGUGCCACCAUCAGGUGGCCGCAGAGAAUAGGCCCAAGCGACUGUUUACCAAAAACAUAGGUUUCUGCUAAGUCGCAAGACGAUGUAUAGGAGCUGACGCCUGCCCGGUGCUGGAAGGUUAAGGGGAUCUGUUAGAGCAAUCGAAGCAGUGAACUUAAGCCCCAGUAAACGGCGGCCGUAACUAUAACGGUCCUAAGGUAGCGAAAUUCCUUGUCGGGUAAGUUCCGACCCGCACGAAAGGCGUAACGAUUUGGGCACUGUCUCAACAACAGACUCGGUGAAAUUGUAAUUCCGGUGAAGAUGCCGGAUACCUGCGACAGGACGGAAAGACCCCAUGGAGCUUUACUGUAGCUUGACAUUGGGUCUUGGUACUACAUGUACAGGAUAGGUGGGAGGCUUUGAAACCAGGACGCCAGUUUUGGCGGAGCCAUCCUUGGGAUACCACCCUUGUAGUACUGGGACUCUAACCAUAGGCCAUGAAUCUGGUCUUGGGACACUGUCAGGCGGGCAGUUUGACUGGGGCGGUCGCCUCCCAAAAGGUAACGGAGGCGCUCAAAGGUUCUCUCAGUACGGUCGGAAAUCGUACGUAGAGUGUAAAGGCAAAAGAGAGCUUGAUUGCAAGACAUACAGGUCGAGCAAGGAUGAAAAUCGGACUUAGUGAUCCGGUGGUUCUGCGUGGAAGGGCCAUCGCUCAACGGAUAAAAGCUACCCUGGGGAUAACAGGCUUAUCUCCCCCAAGAGUCCACAUCGACGGGGAGGUUUGGCACCUCGAUGUCGGCUCAUCACAUCCUGGGGCUGUAGUAGGUCCCAAGGGUUGGGCUGUUCGCCCAUUAAAGUGGUACGCGAGCUGGGUUCAGAACGUCGUGAGACAGUUCGGUCCCUAUCCGUCGCAGGCGUAGGAAAUUUGAGAAGACCUGUCCUUAGUACGAGAGGACCGGGAUGGACGUACCUCUGGUGUACCAGUUGUCCUGCCAAGGGCAUGGCUGGGUAGCUAUGUACGGAAUGGAUAAGCGCUGAAAGCAUCUAAGCGCGAAGCCAACUUCAAGAUAAGAUUUCCCACCGCAAGGGUAAGACCCCAGAAAGACUAUCUGGUUGAUAGGUCGAAGGUGUAAGUGCAGCAAUGUAUUUAGCUUAUCGAUACUAAUAGGUCGAGGACUUGACC
This 2883-nucleotide ribosomal RNA is filed under the name Clostridioides difficile. RNAcentral's name for it is "bacterial LSU rRNA". It matches the Rfam family "Bacterial large subunit ribosomal RNA". Lineage: Bacteria; Bacillati; Bacillota; Clostridia; Peptostreptococcales; Peptostreptococcaceae. The record is from RNAcentral.